ACUCCUGCGGGAGGCAGCAGUGGGGAAUAUUGGACAAUGGGCGCAAGCCUGAUCCAGCCAUGCCGCGUGAGUGAUGAAGGCCCUAGGGUUGUAAAGCUCUUUCACCGGAGAAGAUAAUGACGGUAUCCGGAGAAGAAGCCCCGGCUAACUUCGUGCCAGCAGCCGCGGUAAUACGAAGGGGGCUAGCGUUGUUCGGAAUUACUGGGCGUAAAGCGCACGUAGGCGGAUCGAUCAGUCAGGGGUGAAAUCCCAGGGCUCAACCCUGGAACUGCCUUUGAUACUGUCGAUCUGGAGUAUGGAAGAGGUGAGUGGAAUUCCGAGUGUAGAGGUGAAAUUCGUAGAUAUUCGGAGGAACACCAGUGGCGAAGGCGGCUCACUGGUCCAUUACUGACGCUGAGGUGCGAAAGCGUGGGGAGCAAACAGGAUUAGAAACCCCGGUAGUCCCAUGA
RNAcentral lists this ribosomal RNA (449 nucleotides) under uncultured organism. RNAcentral's name for it is "partial 16S ribosomal RNA". It matches the Rfam family "Bacterial small subunit ribosomal RNA", at positions 335 to 800 of the family's 1533-position model. The record is from RNAcentral.